UGUAUAAUGGGUCAGCGACUUAUAUUCUGUAGCAAGGUUAACCGAAUAGGGGAGCCGAAGGGAAACCGAGUCUUAACUGGGCGUUAAGUUGCAGGGUAUAGACCCGAAACCCGGUGAUCUAGCCAUGGGCAGGUUGAAGGUUGGGUAACACUAACUGGAGGACCGAACCGACUAAUGUUGAAAAAUUAGCGGAUGACUUGUGGCUGGGGGUGAAAGGCCAAUCAAACCGGGAGAUAGCUGGUUCUCCCCGAAAGCUAUUUAGGUAGCGCCUCGUGAAUUCAUCUCCGGGGGUAGAGCACUGUUUCGGCAAGGGGGUCAUCCCGACUUACCAACCCGAUGCAAACUGCGAAUACCGGAGAAUGUUAUCACGGGAGACACACGGCGGGUGCUAACGUCCGUCGUGAAGAGGGAAACAACCCAGACCGCCAGCUAAGGUCCCAAAGUCAUGGUUAAGUGGGAAACGAUGUGGGAAGGCCCAGACAGCCAGGAUGUUGGCUUAGAAGCAGCCAUCAUUUAAAGAAAGCGUAAUAGCUCACUGGUCGAGUCGGCCUGCGCGGAAGAUGUAACGGG
RNAcentral lists this ribosomal RNA (570 nucleotides) under Escherichia coli. Its description in RNAcentral is "partial 23S ribosomal RNA". It matches the Rfam family "Bacterial large subunit ribosomal RNA", at positions 609 to 1179 of the family's 2925-position model. Lineage: Bacteria; Pseudomonadati; Pseudomonadota; Gammaproteobacteria; Enterobacterales; Enterobacteriaceae. The record is from RNAcentral.